This 449-nucleotide ribosomal RNA is filed under the name uncultured Alcaligenes sp. Its description in RNAcentral is "bacterial SSU rRNA". It matches the Rfam family "Bacterial small subunit ribosomal RNA", at positions 61 to 505 of the family's 1533-position model. Lineage: Bacteria; Pseudomonadati; Pseudomonadota; Betaproteobacteria; Burkholderiales; Alcaligenaceae. The record is from RNAcentral.
GUCGAACGGCAGCGCGGACUUCGGUCUGGCGGCGAGUGGCGAACGGGUGAGUAAUGUAUCGGAACGUGCCCAGUAGCGGGGGAUAACUACUCGAAAGAGUAGCUAAUACCGCAUACGCCCUACGGGGGAAAGGGGGGGAUCGCAAGACCUCUCACUAUUGGAGCGGCCGAUAUCGGAUUAGCUAGUUGGUGAGGUAAAGGCUCACCAAGGCGACGAUCCGUAGCUGGUUUGAGAGGACGACCAGCCACACUGGGACUGAGACACGGCCCAGACUCCUACGGGAGGCAGCAGUGGGGAAUUUUGGACAAUGGGGGAAACCCUGAUCCAGCCAUUCCGCGUGUGCGAUGAAGGCCUUCGGGUUGUAAAGCACUUUUGGCAGGAAAGAAAUCGCAUGGAUUAAUACUCUGUGUGGAUGACGGUACCUGCAGAAUAAGCACCGGCUAACUACA